CCUACGGGAGACUGCAGUCGAGAAUCAUUCACAAUGGGGGAAACCCUGAUGGUGCGACGCCGCGUGGGGGAAUGAAGGUCUUCGGAUUGUAAACCCCUGUCAUGUGGGAGCAAAUUAAAAAGAUAGUACCACAAGAGGAAGAGACGGCUAACUCUGUGCCAGCAGCCGCGGUCAUACAGAGGUCUCAAGCGUUGUUCGGAAUCACUGGGCGUAAAGCGUGCGUAGGCUGUUUCGUAAGUCGGGUGUGAAAGGCGCGGGCUCAACCCGCGGACGGCACAUGAUACUGCGAGACUAGAGUAAUGGAGGGGGGACCAGAAUUCUCGGUGUAGCAGUGAAAUGCGUAGAUAUCGGGAGGAACACUCGUGGCGAAGGCGGGUUCCUGGACAUUAACUGACGCUGAGGCACGAAGGCCAGGGGAGCGAAAGGGAUUAGAUACCCGAGUAGUC
RNAcentral lists this ribosomal RNA (446 nucleotides) under uncultured bacterium. RNAcentral's name for it is "partial 16S ribosomal RNA". It matches the Rfam family "Bacterial small subunit ribosomal RNA", at positions 338 to 795 of the family's 1533-position model. The record is from RNAcentral.